GAAAUAACACAGAAGAAUGAUCACCUCAAAAGCACGGACCAUUCCUUAAUGGGCUGGCAGUGAAAAAUCAGUAUGAGUUUUACUUUGGAGAAUUUACUGUGAAAAGGACAGAGGGAGACAACUGUGUCCUGUUACAAAACCAGGACAUUGCUGUUGUACAGAAUGUGGUCGUCAAUGAAAUGGGCAACACUUUCGUAGUCUACAAGAGGUUCAGGAAAAUGGUUGAUUUCUUCACCUACCCCUUUGCCGUCUUCCAAGAUAGGCAUUUUUCACCUCUCUGGAUUAUCAGAUAAUCUCCUCUUCACCAACGCUACGAAUGUGCUGAAGAAUUCUUCUUCCUUGCCAGAAUGGAUAAGCUGGCUUUCCAUUGAGCCACUUGUAGACAUGGCAUAGCCCUGUUUGUUUCUGUUCGCCCCUCACAAGAUCAAGAAGUUUGCUGUAAUUCAGUUCCUGGAUGAAAAGAACGAGCCAUAUGCAGUAGCUCUACAAAGGAUGUGCUGGGGAUGACAAUGAGAUGAGGGACGACAUUCAUGGGGGAACAUACCACUGCUCUUUCAACAACGCAUCUUUUAAAGAUGAAGAGGAGGAGAAGGUGGAUAAAGAACAGAUGAAGACACCGGCAGUUUGAUGUUGAGUAGUAUUCACACAAGACUGGAAGUCAGAUAUAAUCCAAGUACAGAUGAACACAGCACCAACCAUAGCUUGCUUGUUAGUUUUGAUUGUCAGAGGUAAAGCUUGACAUUUUUUGGUGUGUAUUGUAUCAUUUAAGUUUCAGAGAACAAUUAAACCACUGAAUUAGCUACAUGGUUUGGUAAUUAGUUAAACUAACUUCCACCAAACCAAUAAAAAAAAUGAUGUUCAACUUGUAGCUACUUCCGAAACUGCCGACCAUGUUGGCUUAAACCCAAACGUCUUCCACACCAAUGUGUGAGGUGUUUCUCCACUACCCAGAAGCACCCAGGGGGUAUUUGAGAUCCAGUCAGGAAGGGCUGUGCCUCGCCUGUGGGAGUCACGCUACCUGUAUGGUGUGUCUGGACAUGUGUCCCAAACACUCCCAUGCUUGCCCCACGAGUGUGAGGUCAUCCCGGGGGAAAUACAGUAUAUUGGUGAGCCGGUUUCCUGUUUCAUGUUCUCAUCACAAGCUUUUUAGUUCAGGAGUAGACUUAAUGAAAGCUAGACUUUAUACCAUAGAGCAUUUAAUGCCUGGAAAAAGCCAUUUUGGAUCCAAAGAGCACCUUUUUACAUAAAAAUGUUCAAUUUUCCCUAUUCUCUCUCAUCUUUCCUGUGCUCCCGGGAUGGGCUCCUCCCUCCCCAGAGCCCCUGUGCCCUCAGAUGAGCACCAACGAGCAGCUUGGACCAGAGUCUGAGUAUCUUGUUGUCUACGAUACACAGAGAGGUAUAGAAAGUGUCAAUCACUGAGCGGCUCUUGCCUGGCACAGAUAUAGCAUACAGUAUGUUUUAAUAUGAAGGACUGCUUUCACGAACACAGAUUAAAUCUAGUCCUGGACUAAGAUACACUUUCAAUUGAGAUUCUCCAGCGAGCAGGAUUUAAGUCCAGGACGAGGCUUACUCUGUUUCUACUAUGGCAGUGGUUCUCAAAGUGGGGUCCGUGGACCUCUGGGGCCAGAUGUCAAAAUACAUUAUUUUUUAUAUAUAUUUUUUUUACAUCAGAUUUAAAAAAAAAAUGUUUUACUAAUAACAGAUUAAACAAGUUUUGGCCAAGAGAUACUUGAAAUAAAUUUAGAGGGUAUAAUACAAUAUAAUAUGAUUCAUCUCC
Molecule: long non-coding RNA, 1777 nt
Organism: Oncorhynchus tshawytscha (Chinook salmon)
Lineage: Eukaryota; Metazoa; Chordata; Actinopteri; Salmoniformes; Salmonidae
Source: Ensembl